UAGGGAAUUUUCCACAAUGGGCGAAAGCCUGAUGGAGCAACGCCGCGUGUGUGAUGAAGGGUUUCGGCUCGUAAAACACUGUUGUAAGAGAAGAAUGACAUUGAGAGUAACUGUUCAAUGUGUGACGGUAUCUUACCAGAAAGGAACGGCUAAAUACGCGCCAG
Molecule: ribosomal RNA, 164 nt
Filed under: uncultured bacterium
Lineage: Bacteria
Description: partial 16S rRNA
Rfam family: Bacterial small subunit ribosomal RNA
Source: RNAcentral